GACGGGGCCCGCACAAGCGGUGGAGCAUGUGGUUUAAUUCGAUGCAACGCGAAGACCUUACCUAGGCUUGACAUCCCUGGAAUUUUGUGGAAACACAAAAGUGCCUUUCGGGGAACCAGGAGACAGGUGCUGCAUGGCUGUCGUCAGCUCGUGUCGUGAGAUGUAGGGUUAAGUCCCGCAACGAGCGCAACCCUUGUCUUUAAUUGCCAUCAUUGAGUUGGGCACUUUAAAGAGACUGCCGGUGUUAAACCGGAGGAAGGUGGGGAUGACGUCAAGUCCUCAUGGCCUUUAUGCCCAGGGCUACACACGUGCUACAAUGGGUGGUACAAAGAGCAGCCAGCUCGCGAGAGUGAGCAAAUCUCAAAAAGCCAUCCUCAGUUCGGAUUGGAGUCUGCAACUCGACUCCAUGAAGCCGGAAUCGCUAGUAAUCGUGGAUCAGCAUGCCACGGUGAAUACGUUCCCGGGCCUU
Molecule: ribosomal RNA, 469 nt
Filed under: uncultured Smithella sp.
Lineage: Bacteria; Pseudomonadati; Thermodesulfobacteriota; Syntrophia; Syntrophales; Smithellaceae
Description: bacterial SSU rRNA
Rfam family: Bacterial small subunit ribosomal RNA
Source: RNAcentral